This 94-nucleotide small RNA is filed under the name Lelliottia amnigena. Its description in RNAcentral is "Tryptophan operon leader". It matches the Rfam family "Tryptophan operon leader". Rfam says of the family: At least 6 amino acid operons are known to be regulated by attenuation. In each a leader sequence of 150-200 bp is found upstream of the first gene in the operon. Lineage: Bacteria; Pseudomonadati; Pseudomonadota; Gammaproteobacteria; Enterobacterales; Enterobacteriaceae. The record is from RNAcentral.
ACGGUUGGUGGCGCACUUCCUGAAUAUCGGGCAGUGUCAUUCGUGUGCGUUACGAAAACAGAUACCUGGCCCGCGACUAUGCGGGCUUUUUUAU